Betta splendens (Siamese fighting fish) is the source of this 283-nucleotide long non-coding RNA. RefSeq lists it as uncharacterized. NCBI's taxonomy places the organism in Eukaryota, Metazoa, Chordata, Actinopteri, Anabantiformes, Osphronemidae. The transcript is spliced from 2 exons. The record is from RefSeq and is a predicted model, not a curated record.
CCACAGACUGGACGGGUCUGGAUGAAGAUGAAGAUGCGCAUGUGUGGGAGGAUAACUGGGAUGAUGACAACGUAGAAGAUGACUUCUCAAAUCAGCUGAGAGCGGAGCUGGAAAAACAUGGCUACAAGAUGGAGACGUCGUAGCAGCUGAUGGGAUCUUUGAAUAUACAAGAGCGCAUGAUAGGGACUUUAAUAUGUCAAUAUUUCUUGUCGACCACACGACAACAGAACUGAUUUGUUUGUCUUUUUGUAAAAAAAAUUUAACUAAAUGUUUGGAGAAAAUC